This 549-nucleotide ribosomal RNA is filed under the name uncultured bacterium. Its description in RNAcentral is "bacterial SSU rRNA". It matches the Rfam family "Bacterial small subunit ribosomal RNA", at positions 355 to 895 of the family's 1533-position model. The record is from RNAcentral.
UAGGGAAUCUUCCACAAUGGACGCAAGUCUGAUGGAGCAACGCCGCGUGAGUGAAGAAGGGUUUCGGCUCGUAAAGCUCUGUUGGUAGUGAAGAAAGAUAGAGGUAGUAACUGGCCUUUAUUUGACGGUAAUUACUUAGAAAGUCACGGCUAACUACGUGCCAGCAGCCGCGGUAAUACGUAGGUGGCAAGCGUUGUCCGGAUUUAUUGGGCGUAAAGCGAGUGCAGGCGGUUCAAUAAGUCUGAUGUGAAAGCCUUCGGCUCAACCGGAGAAUUGCAUCAGAAACUGUUGAACUUGAGUGCAGAAGAGGAGAGUGGAACUCCAUGUGUAGCGGUGGAAUGCGUAGAUAUAUGGAAGAACACCAGUGGCGAAGGCGGCUCUCUGGUCUGCAACUGACGCUGAGGCUCGAAAGCAUGGGUAGCGAACAGGAUUAGAUACCCUGGUAGUCCAUGCCGUAAACGAUGAGUGCUAAGUGUUGGGAGGUUUCCGCCUCUCAGUGCUGCAGCUAACGCAUUAAGCACUCCGCCUGGGGAGUACGACCGCAAGGUU